This 595-nucleotide ribosomal RNA is filed under the name Albugo gomphrenae. RNAcentral describes it as "LSU rRNA". It matches the Rfam family "Eukaryotic large subunit ribosomal RNA", at positions 82 to 606 of the family's 3401-position model. The record is from RNAcentral. Lineage: Eukaryota; Oomycota; Peronosporomycetes; Albuginales; Albuginaceae.
AGUAACGGCGAGUGAAGCGGGAAGAGCUCAAGCUUAAAAUCUCCAAGCAAGUUUUGCCUGGCGAAUUGUAGCCUAUGGAAGCGAUGUCAGUGCCGUCGGCAGGACCAAGUUCCUUGGAAUAGGACAGCAAGGAGGGUCAUACUCCCGUCUGUGUCCAGUUGACGUGCUCGUACGACACGCUCUCUUCGAGUCGCGUUGUUUGGGAUUGCAGCGCAAAGCAGGUGGUAAACUCCAUCGAAAGCUAAAUACCGGUAGAGACCGAUAGCGAACAAGUACCGUGAGGGAAAGAUGAAAAGAACUUUGAAAAGAGAGUUAAAAGUACCUGAAACUGCUGAAAGGGAAGCGAAUCGCGUCUACUGUCCCUUCGCGUUCAUCGCGUUUCUCUAGCCACUUUGAGGGUACGAAGCGUUGGUGUCGCGGUGGAGUCAGAGUCAGUUCCGAUCGUGGUCCUUGCCGGUCACUAGAGCUUAUUGCACGUAGUUGCGAGAGGCGUAACUAAGCCGGAUGGGGUCGUGGUCGGGAUUGAGGUGUCUACAACAUGCAAUCAAGUCCGGUGCGCGCGUUUCCGCGAGGCGGGGGGAGAGUCAACUCGAAC